AUAGAGCAACAGCUUCUAUGCAGUUUCUAAGGACCCCGUUAAUCUUCUACUCCGCCAAGAAUGGAAAGAUUAUCGGGGUUUUGUCUU
Molecule: antisense RNA, 87 nt
Filed under: Grimontella sp. AG753
Lineage: Bacteria; Pseudomonadati; Pseudomonadota; Gammaproteobacteria; Enterobacterales
Description: CopA-like RNA
Rfam family: CopA-like RNA
About the family: In several groups of bacterial plasmids, antisense RNAs regulate copy number through inhibition of replication initiator protein synthesis.
Source: RNAcentral